This 460-nucleotide ribosomal RNA is filed under the name uncultured bacterium. RNAcentral's name for it is "partial 16S ribosomal RNA". It matches the Rfam family "Bacterial small subunit ribosomal RNA", at positions 338 to 795 of the family's 1533-position model. The record is from RNAcentral.
CCUACGGGAGGCAGCAGUGAGGAAUAUUGGUCAAUGGCCGUAAGGCUGAACCAGCCAAGUAGCGUGAGGGAAGAAUGCCCUAUGGGUUGUAAACCUCUUUUAUGCGGGGAUAAUGGUGUGCACGUGUGGAUGUUUGCAGGUACCGCAUGAAUAAGGACUGGCGUAUUCCGUGCCCGCAGCCGCGGUAAUACGGAAGGUCCGGGUGUUAUCCGGAAUUAUUGGGUUUAAAGGGAGCGUUGGCCGGUCUUUAAGCGUGCCGGGAAAUUUUGUGGCUCAACCAUGGGACUGCGGCGCGAACUGGAGACCUUGAGUGCGCGGAAGGCAGGCGGAAUGCGUGGUGUAGCGGUGAAAUGCUUAGAUAUCACGAAGAACCCCGAUUGCGAAGGCAGCCUGCCGCAGCGUUACUGACGCUGAGGCUCGAAAGCGCGGGUAUCGAACAGGAUUAGAUACCCCAGUAGUC